This 269-nucleotide ribosomal RNA is filed under the name uncultured prokaryote. RNAcentral describes it as "partial 16S ribosomal RNA". It matches the Rfam family "Bacterial small subunit ribosomal RNA", at positions 524 to 792 of the family's 1533-position model. The record is from RNAcentral.
UACGGAUGAUCCGAGCGUUAUCCGGAUUUAUUGGGUUUAAAGGGUGCGCAGGCGGGAGAUUAAGUCGGCGGUGAAAUUUUGCAGCUCAACUGUAAAAGUGCCUUCGAAACUGGUUUCCUUGAGUGUGGAUGAAGUAGGCGGAAUUUGUGGUGUAGCGGUGAAAUGCAUAGAUAUCACGAGGAACUCCGAUUGCGCAGGCAGCUUACUAAACCAUAACUGACGCUCAGGCACGAAGGCGUGGGGAUCAAACAGGAUUAGAUACCCUGGUA